This 472-nucleotide ribosomal RNA is filed under the name uncultured bacterium. Its description in RNAcentral is "bacterial SSU rRNA". It matches the Rfam family "Bacterial small subunit ribosomal RNA", at positions 355 to 825 of the family's 1533-position model. The record is from RNAcentral.
UGGGGAAUUUUGGACAAUGGGCGCAAGCCUGAUCCAGCCAUGCCGCGUGCGGGAAGAAGGCCUUCGGGUUGUAAACCGCUUUUGUCAGGGAAGAAACGCUCUGGGCUAAUACCCUGGGGUAAUGACGGUACCUGAAGAAUAAGCACCGGCUAACUACGUGCCAGCAGCCGCGGUAAUACGUAGGGUGCAAGCGUUAAUCGGAAUUACUGGGCGUAAAGCGUGCGCAGGCGGUUAUGCAAGACAGAUGUGAAAUCCCCGGGCUUAACCUGGGAACUGCAUUUGUGACUGCCAGACUAGAGUGUAGCAGAGGGGGGUAGAAUUCCACGUGUAGCAGUGAAAUGCGUAGAUAUGUGGAGGAAUACCGAUGGCGAAGGCAGCCCCCUGGGCUAACACUGACGCUCAUGCACGAAAGCGUGGGGAGCAAACAGGAUUAGAUACCCACGUAGUCCCUGAGCGGGCUGGCAAGGCGCAU